GUGGGGAAUCUUAGACAAUGGGGGAAACCCUGAUCUAGCCAUGCCGCGUGAGCGAUGAAGGCCUUAGGGUUGUAAAGCUCUUUCAGCUGGGAAGAUAAUGACGGUACCAGCAGCAGAAGCCCCGGCUAACUCCGUGCCAGCAGCCGCGGUAAUACGGAGGGGGCUAGCGUUGUUCGGAAUUACUGGGCGUAAAGCGCACGUAGGCGGAACAGAAAGUCAGAGGUGAAAUCCCAGGGCUCAACCUUGGAACUGCCUUUGAAACUCAUGGGCUUGAGGUCGAGAGAGGUGAGUGGAAUUCCGAGUGUAGAGGUGAAAGUGGUAGAUAUUCGGAGGAACACCAGUGGCGAAGGCGGCUCACUGGCUCGAUACUGACGCUGAGGUGCGAAAGCGUGGGGUGCAAACAGGAUUAGAAACCCCAGUAGUCC
Molecule: ribosomal RNA, 425 nt
Filed under: uncultured bacterium
Lineage: Bacteria
Description: partial 16S ribosomal RNA
Rfam family: Bacterial small subunit ribosomal RNA
Source: RNAcentral